AUAACCACUAUACCUAGACAGUGGAAAAAACAUCUGGGCAGGUGGAAUAGUUGAGAAGCCACACAGUUUUUGUUUGUAAACCAUGUGGCUGAAAUAGACUAAAAAAUAUUUUUUAAACUGAAGUUGCAGCAGCUUUGUCAACCUUCAAAGCAACAUUUGGCUUACAAACAUGAAAAACAAUGCAUCGAGCUCUCCCUUGUAUCACCUAUCAGAGUAAUUUUUUUUUUAAAUGAUUAAUCUACCUAAAAAUGUAAAUCUGCGGCACAAAAGAAUUAAGAUAAAUUAAUAACUGAGACCAACCCAGUGUCUUCCAGUUUUCUACCCUGUGCUCUAGAACAAGGAUUCUACAUCAGAACCUUUUUGCUAGCUCUGUAUCUAAGGGAGGACUUCUUUCAGGCCUAGCUUCUAUUAACACAAACCAAUUUAACAUCUCUCAUUGCUUUUAUUUUCUGCAAGCUCCAGGUGCUGAAGGGUGUGCUUUUGAAGAGCUGCAAAGUUUCUGCUAUCCCAGCGGACAAGAUACUAAGCAAUCACACGCCGGCUCCAGUUCACAGCAAACAAGUUGAGCUGCAUUCGCAAAACAACGAAGAACACCAAGUAGCGCCGUGCACCAGAACAGAAGCCCCUAGGAACUGGGAUCUGAUUCACUCCGGCAUUUACAAAAGCAAGGGAGCCUUUUUGCAGCCUCAAGCCCCCAGGCUGUUCACUGAAUUUAUAACAGUCCACAGUCUGUCUAGUGCAAUGGCUGUUAACUCCUUCAUCGUUUCCUGCCUACAGCACACAAGGAGCCAGAUGUACCAAGACAGAGAUGAGGCAGAGCCUGUUAUGUUGUUGCUGACAUGGCACAAAGAACUGAAAAUGUCUGGCCUCAUUCUGUUAUUAUACAGGUAGAAAUUUCUUCUUUCCUUACCUUCUUUCAGUAAGCCCUGAAGAGAAGUGUACUGAUGCUUUACAUUGUGGGUAAUGAUUUCAGGUGGAGAAUAAACUGCUAAACAUUAAUCUUGCUUUCAAGCAAACAGUCUUAACCACCUCAAUGGCAGUUUGCAAUCAUUGUGAAGAUGUAGUAAUUGACAAUCCAUGCCUUUAAAUCAAAGCCAAAAGAUGGAACUAUCCUCUCUGCUGUACUCCACAUUAGUGAGAAUUUCAAUAGUGAGAUUUGUUCUCAUCUUCAUUCUUUGGGUCCCAGGUAAGAUCUACAAGCACAAAGGCUAAUUAUUCUGGAUGAAGUUCAUAAGCGGGCCUAAUACAGGAAAAGACAAAUAUAUAGCGAGAGAGAUAGAUGCCUUCAGAAAGAAACAUAGAGAAAAAGCAAUGGGUGAGACCAGUGAAUAACGAGCAUUUUGAACAUU
Non-coding RNA from Anas platyrhynchos (mallard), 1349 nucleotides. The record is from RefSeq and is a predicted model, not a curated record. Lineage: Eukaryota; Metazoa; Chordata; Aves; Anseriformes; Anatidae.